GACGAACGCUGGCGGCGUGCUUAACACAUGCAAGUCGAACGGAAAGGCCCUGCUUUUGUGGGGUGCUCGAGUGGCGAACGGGUGAGUAACACGUGAGUAACCUGCCCUUGACUUUGGGAUAACUUCAGGAAACUGGGGCUAAUACCGGAUAGGAGCUCCUGCUGCAUGGUGGGGGUUGGAAAGUUUCGGCGGUUGGGGAUGGACUCGCGGCUUAUCAGCUUGUUGGGGGGGUAGUGGCUUACCAAGGCUUUGACGGGUAGUCGGCCUGGGAGGGUGACCGGCCACAUUGGGACUGAGAUACGGCCCAGACUCCUACGGGAGGCAGCAGUGGGGAAUAUUGCACAAUGGGCGGAAGCCUGAUGCAGCAACGCCGCGUGCGGGAUGACGGCCUUCGGGUUGUAAACCGCUUUCGCCUGUGACGAAGCGUGAGUGACGGUAAUGGGUAAAGAAGCACCGGCUAACUACGUG
This 468-nucleotide ribosomal RNA is filed under the name uncultured bacterium. RNAcentral describes it as "partial 16S ribosomal RNA". It matches the Rfam family "Bacterial small subunit ribosomal RNA", at positions 28 to 507 of the family's 1533-position model. The record is from RNAcentral.